GCUAGCGACAGGCCUAACACAUGCAAGUCGAGGGGCAACAUGGUAUCAGCUUGCUGAUACCGAUGGCGACCGGCGCACGGGUGAGUAACGCGUAUGUAAUCUACCUGUAACAGAGGGAUAACCCGGAGAAAUCCGGACUAAUACCUCAUAGCACAUAUUAUUCGCAUGAAUUUUAUGUUAAAGAGACUCGGUUACAGAUGAACAUGCGUUCCAUUAGCUAGUUGGCGGGGUCACGGCCCACCAAGGCAACGAUGGAUAGGGGUUCUGAGAGGAAGGUCCCCCACACUGGUACUGAGACACGGACCAGACUCCUACGGGAGGCAGCAGUGAGGAAUAUUGGUCAAUGGGCGGAAGCCUGAACCAGCCAAGUCGCGUGGAGGAAGACGGCCCUACGGGUUGUAAACUCCUUUUACCUGGGAAUAACGGGCGCUACGUGUAGCGCUGUGCAAGUACCGGGAGAAUAAGCAUCGGCUAAUUCCGUGCCAGCAGCCGCGGUAAUACGGAAGAUGCGAGCGUUAUCCGGAUUUAUUGGGUUUAAAGGGUGCGUAGGCGGAAGAAUAAGUCAGCGGUGAAAUGCUUCAGCUCAACUGGAGAAUUGCCGAUGAAACUGUUUUUCUAGAGUAUAAAAGAGGUAUGCGGAAUGCGUGGUGUAGCGGUGAAAUGCAUAGAUAUCACGCAGAACCCCGAUUGCGAAGGCAGCAUACUGGGCUAUAACUGACGCUGAAGCACGAAAGCGUGGGUAUCGAACAGGAUUAGAUACCCUGGUAGUCCACGCCGUAAACGAUGAAUACUAACUGUUU
Molecule: ribosomal RNA, 800 nt
Filed under: uncultured organism
Description: SSU rRNA
Rfam family: Bacterial small subunit ribosomal RNA
Source: RNAcentral